This 460-nucleotide ribosomal RNA is filed under the name uncultured bacterium. RNAcentral describes it as "partial 16S ribosomal RNA". It matches the Rfam family "Bacterial small subunit ribosomal RNA", at positions 338 to 795 of the family's 1533-position model. The record is from RNAcentral.
CCUACGGGUGACAGCAGUGAGGAAUAUUGGUCAAUGGACGAGAGUCUGAACCAGCCAAGUAGCGUGAAGGAUGACUGUCCUAUGGGUUGUAAACUUCUUUUAUAUGGGAAUAAAAUGUUCCACGUGUGGGAUUUUGUAUGUACCUUAUGAAUAAGCAUCGGCUAACUCCGUGCCAGCAGCCGCGGUAAUACGGAGGAUCCGAGCGUUAUCCGGAUUUAUUGGGUUUAAAGGGAGCGUAGGUGGUUUGUUAAGUCAGUUGUGAAAGUUUGCGGCUCAACCGUAAGAUUGCAGUUGAAACUGGCAGUCUUGAGUACGGGAGAGGUAUGCGGAAUGCGUGGUGUAGCGGUGAAAUGCAUAGAUAUCACGAAGAACUCCGAUUGCGAAGGCAGCACACUGGACUGCAACUGACACUGAGGCUCGAAAGUGUGGGUAUCGAACAGGAUUAGAUACCCUUGUAGUC